Molecule: non-coding RNA, 171 nt
Filed under: pig gut metagenome
Description: Lysine riboswitch
Rfam family: Lysine riboswitch aptamer
About the family: Riboswitches are metabolite binding domains within certain messenger RNAs that serve as precision sensors for their corresponding targets. Allosteric rearrangement of mRNA structure is mediated by ligand binding, and this results in modulation of gene expression. This family includes riboswitches that sense lysine in a number of genes involved in lysine metabolism, including lysC.
Source: RNAcentral
AAUGGUAGAGGCGCAAAGCUCAUAAGUAGCGCCGGACAUUUUGGAAAAGCGGUUUCCGUCCGGAGUGAAAGGGUGCUUUGCCGAAGCUUUUGCCGGCACCGUGUUUUGUCUGCAUUGGCUGGGGCGUGAGAGAAUAUCUUACGGACUGUCACUUCGGUGGAGAGCUAUCAU